This 508-nucleotide ribosomal RNA is filed under the name uncultured bacterium. RNAcentral's name for it is "partial 16S ribosomal RNA". It matches the Rfam family "Bacterial small subunit ribosomal RNA", at positions 28 to 507 of the family's 1533-position model. The record is from RNAcentral.
GACGAACGCUGGCGGCGUGCCUAAUACAUGCAAGUCGAACGCUUCUUUCCUCCCGAGUGCUUGCACUCAAUUGGAAAGAGGAGUGGCGGACGGGUGAGUAACACGUGGGUAACCUACCCAUCAGAGGGGGAUAACACUUGGAAAUAGGUGCUAAUACCGCAUAACAGUUUAUGCCGUAUGGCAUAAGAGUGAAAGGCGCUUUCGGGUGUCGCUGAUGGACGGACCCGCGGUGCAUUAGCUAGUUGGUGAGGUAACGGCUCACCAAGGCCACGAUGCAUAGCCGACCUGAGAGGGUGAUCGGCCACACUGGGACUGAGACACGGCCCAGACUCCUACGGGAGGCAGCAGUAGGGAAUCUUCGGCAAUGGACGAAAGUCUGACCGAGCAACGCCGCGUGAGUGAAGAAGGUUUUCGGAUCGUAAAACUCUGUUGUUAGAGAAGAACAAGGACGUUAGUAACUGAACGUCCCCUGACGGUAUCUAACCAGAAAGCCACGGCUAACUACGUG